RNAcentral lists this ribosomal RNA (286 nucleotides) under uncultured microorganism. RNAcentral's name for it is "partial 16S ribosomal RNA". It matches the Rfam family "Bacterial small subunit ribosomal RNA", at positions 505 to 796 of the family's 1533-position model. The record is from RNAcentral.
GUGCCAGCAGGYCGCGGUAUACGAGGGGGCAGCGUAAUCGGAUACUGGGCGUAAGCGCACGCAGGCGGUCUGUUAAGUCAGAUGUGAAAUCCCCGGGCUUAACCUGGGAACUGCAUUUGAAACUGGCAGGCUUGAGUCUUGUAGAGGGGGGUAGAAUUCCAGGUGUAGCGGUGAAAUGCGUAGAGAUCUGGAGGAAUACCGGUGGCGAAGGCGGCCCCCUGGACAAAGACUGACGCUCAGGUGCGAAAGCGUGGGGAGCAAACAGGAUUAGAUACCCUGGUAGUCC